Molecule: ribosomal RNA, 468 nt
Filed under: uncultured bacterium
Lineage: Bacteria
Description: bacterial SSU rRNA
Rfam family: Bacterial small subunit ribosomal RNA
Source: RNAcentral
GACGACGCUGGCGGCGUGCUUAACACAUGCAAGUCGAACGAUGACGGUGGUGCUUGCACCACCUGAUUAGUGGCGAACGGGUGAGUAACACGUGAGUAACCUGCCCCCCCACUUCGGGAUAACCUCGGGAAAUCGUGGCUAAUACCGGAUACGAGCACUCAUCGCAUGGUGGGUGCUGGAAAGAUUUAUCGGUGGGGGAUGGACUCGCGGCCUAUCAGUUUGUUGGUGAGGUGAUGGCUCACCAAGACGAUGACAGGUAGCCGGCCUGAGAGGGCGACCGGCCACACUGGGACUGAGACACGGCCCAGACUCCUACGGGAGGCAGCAGUGGGGAAUAUUGCACAAUGGGCGAAAGCCUGAUGCAGCGACGCCGCGUGGGGGAUGACGGCCUUCGGGUUGUAAACCCCUUUCAGUAGAGAAGAAGCGAGAGUGACGGUACCUGCAGAAGAAGCGCCGGCUAACUACGUG